Molecule: ribosomal RNA, 255 nt
Filed under: uncultured bacterium
Lineage: Bacteria
Description: partial 16S ribosomal RNA
Rfam family: Bacterial small subunit ribosomal RNA
Source: RNAcentral
UACGUAGGGUGCAAGCGUUGUCCGGAAUUAUUGGGCGUAAAGAGCUCGUAGGCGGUUUGUCGCGUCUGCUGUGAAAACCCGAGGCUCAACCUCGGGCCUGCAGUGGGUACGGGGCAGACUAGAGUGCGGUAGGGGAGAUUGGAAUUCCUGGUGUAGCGGUGGAAUGCGCAGAUAUCAGGAGGAACACCAAUGGCGAAGGCAGAUCUCUGGGCCGUAACUGACGCUGAGGAGCGAAAGCAUGGGGGAGCGAACAGG